RNAcentral lists this ribosomal RNA (465 nucleotides) under Vreelandella stevensii. RNAcentral describes it as "partial 16S ribosomal RNA". It matches the Rfam family "Bacterial small subunit ribosomal RNA", at positions 338 to 795 of the family's 1533-position model. The record is from RNAcentral. Lineage: Bacteria; Pseudomonadati; Pseudomonadota; Gammaproteobacteria; Oceanospirillales; Halomonadaceae.
CCUACGUGGGGCAGCAGUGGGGAAUAUUGGACAAUGGGGGGAACCCUGAUCCAGCCAUGCCGCGUGUGUGAAGAAGGCCCUCGGGUUGUAAAGCACUUUCAGUGAGGAAGAACGCCUGGUGGUUAAUACCCAUCAGGAAAGACAUCACUCACAGAAGAAGCACCGGCUAACUCCGUGCCAGCAGCCGCGGUAAUACGGAGGGUGCGAGCGUUAAUCGGAAUUACUGGGCGUAAAGCGCGCGUAGGUGGCUUGAUAAGCCGGUUGUGAAAGCCCCGGGCUCAACCUGGGAACGGCAUCCGGAACUGUGAAGCUAGAGUGCAGGAGAGGAAGGUAGAAUUCCCGGUGUAGCGGUGAAAUGCAUAGAGAUCGGGAGGAAUACCAGUGGCGAAGGCGGCCUUCUGGACUGACACUGACACUGAGGUGCGAAAGCGUGGGUAGCAAACAGGAUUAGAUACCCCAGUAGUC